RNAcentral lists this non-coding RNA (192 nucleotides) under Frankia sp. Lineage: Bacteria; Bacillati; Actinomycetota; Actinomycetes; Frankiales; Frankiaceae. RNAcentral also lists the same sequence under 1 other name. The record is from RNAcentral.
UACAGUUCGUCCCGCCGUGGUGUUCGGGAAGCCGGUGUGGAACCGGUGCGGCCCUCGCCACUGUGAUCGGGAUGUCACCGGCCAGUCCCCGCCCGUCGGGGAGUCACUGGGCACCGGAAAACGUCGCCUGGGAAGGCGGCCGGUGACGCACCACCCGUCAGCCAGGAGACCGGCCACGGCACCCGCGAUCCG